CGCACAUUGCGCCCCUUGGUAUUCCGGGGGGCAUGCCUGUUCGAGCGUCAUUACAACCCUCAAGCUCUGCUUGGUAUUGGGCCUCGCCGCAAAUGCGGCCGGCCUCAAAUCUAGUGGCGGUGCCGCUGGGUCCUGAGCGUAGUAAAUAUCCUCGCUACAGGGUCCUGGCGGCCUCCUGCCAUCAACCCCCACAUCUUAGUUUGACCUCGGAUCAGGUAGGGAUACCCGCUGAACUUAA
Molecule: unclassified non-coding RNA, 238 nt
Filed under: Clarireedia homoeocarpa
Lineage: Eukaryota; Fungi; Ascomycota; Leotiomycetes; Helotiales; Rutstroemiaceae
Description: partial contains 5.8S ribosomal RNA, internal transcribed spacer 2, and large subunit ribosomal RNA
Source: RNAcentral